RNAcentral lists this ribosomal RNA (460 nucleotides) under uncultured bacterium. Its description in RNAcentral is "partial 16S ribosomal RNA". It matches the Rfam family "Bacterial small subunit ribosomal RNA", at positions 338 to 795 of the family's 1533-position model. The record is from RNAcentral.
CCUACGGGCGGCAGCAGUGAGGAAUAUUGGUCAAUGGACUUGCGUCUGAACCAGCCAAGUAGCGUGAAGGAUGACUGCCCUAUGGGUUGUAAACUUCUUUUAUAUGGGAAUAACAUGUUCCACGUGUGGGCUUUUGUAUGUACCAUAUGAAUAAGGAUCGGCUAACUCCGUGCCAGCAGCCGCGGUAAUACGGAGGAUCCGAGCGUUAUCCGGAUUUAUUGGGGUUAAAGGGAGCGUAGGUGGAUUGUUAAGUUAGUUGUGAAAGUUUGCGGGUCAACCGUAAAAUUGCAGUUGAAACUGGCAGUCUUGAGUACGGGAGAGGUGGGCGGAAUGCGUGGUGUAGCGGUGAAAUGCUUAGAUAUCGCGAAGAACUCCGAUUGCGAAGGCAGCUCACUGGACUGCAACUGACACUGAGGCUCGAAAGUGUGGGUAUCAAACAGGAUUAGAUACCCGUGUAGUC